UUUUGCGCCCGACCCUCGAAUACUCUUCCACCAGACGGACGUCCGCCUUGACUUUGCUUCGAAUACGAAAAACCGGGGGCGGGGGAUGAGACAAGCGGGCGGGCGGGGGCAGGGCGUCAUGACGUAACCGACGGUCUCGUCAGAGAAAAUGGAGAAGAAACUGACCAAUA
Caenorhabditis elegans is the source of this 170-nucleotide non-coding RNA. The record is from Ensembl. NCBI's taxonomy places the organism in Eukaryota, Metazoa, Nematoda, Chromadorea, Rhabditida, Rhabditidae.